This 257-nucleotide ribosomal RNA is filed under the name uncultured bacterium. RNAcentral's name for it is "partial 16S ribosomal RNA". It matches the Rfam family "Bacterial small subunit ribosomal RNA", at positions 57 to 305 of the family's 1533-position model. The record is from RNAcentral.
GCAAGUCGAACGUGAAAGCCUUCGGGUGAGUAAAGUGGCGCACGGGUGAGUAAUACGUGGGUAAUCUACCUUAGAGCUCGGAAUAACCUGACGAAAGUUGGGCUAAUACCGGAUAGAGCGAGGAAGUCGUAAAGGCUUUUUCGGGAAAGAGAGGCCGUAAGGUCCCUCACUCUAAGAGGAGCCCACGUCCCAUUAGCUUGUUGGUGGGGUAAAAGCCUACCAAGGCUACGAUGGGUAGCUGGUUUAAGAGGAUGAUC